CGCCAACCAUCCAACGCGAAUUUCACUGUCGGCCGCGGGUGCAGGCUUGCAGCUGUUGCUUUCAUUGUGAUGUGUUUUCUACUACUUUCGGAUAAAGAAUAAUUGCGAGUGUUCAAUUCGUGUUUAUGGACUUUAUAUUAACGAAAUAGAGAAAAUAAACGUGUUUCCAGUAGCGUCUUGUCCAACUAUUUGAGAGCAUGUUACAAUAUCAAAUUUAUGUCCAUCCGCACAACAACGCUCGAAUUACUUCACAGUCGGUAUUUAGGCGCGGUUGCCGCGAUACCUUCAUUGCCUUCAACAUGAGAUGUGCUUUUCCGGCGUUCUUUUCGAUUGGUUGAAGUUAUACUUUUGAUUGGUUGAAGUCUAGUUAUUUUUCGUGUCAUUUUGCCGAUAGUGAGGUCGAAUAUGUUGAGGAUAUAUUUUACCCUUGCCGCCAUCGAUCACGUUGAGUUUGCUGAGUCAGAUUUCAGUUAUUAAUUUAUGUCUAGGGUAGAUUUAGCUACUCGCAGGAGCAUGUAUUUUACAAAUAUGUUGUGUAUGGUCAGCGUGGUUAAAUAAAUUUUUAAAUUAAGUAAGUAAGUAAGUAUAUGUAUAAGGCUAAAUUAU
Paramuricea clavata is the source of this 606-nucleotide non-coding RNA. Lineage: Eukaryota; Metazoa; Cnidaria; Anthozoa; Malacalcyonacea; Plexauridae. The record is from the annotation of a GenBank genome assembly.